GACGAACGCUGGCGGCGUGCCUAAUACAUGCAAGUCGAGCGGACCUCUUCGGAGGUCAGCGGCGGACGGGUGAGUAACACGUGGGCAACCUGCCUGUAAGACUGGGAUAACUCCGGGAAACCGGAGCUAAUACCGGAUAUUAUGUCAGACCGCAUGGUUUGACAUUCAAAGACGGUUUCGGCUGUCACUUACAGAUGGGCCCGCGGCGCAUUAGCUAGUUGGUGAGGUAAUGGCUCACCAAGGCAACGAUGCGUAGCCGACCUGAGAGGGUGAUCGGCCACACUGGGACUGAGACACGGCCCAGACUCCUACGGGAGGCAGCAGUAGGGAAUCUUCCGCAAUGGACGAAAGUCUGACGGAGCAACGCCGCGUGAGUGAUGAAGGUUUUCGGAUCGUAAAACUCUGUUGUCAGGGAAGAACAAGUGCCGGAGUAACUGCCGGCACCUUGACGGUACCUGACCAGAAAGCCACGGCUAACUACGUGCCAGCCGCCGCCGUAA
Molecule: ribosomal RNA, 500 nt
Filed under: uncultured bacterium
Lineage: Bacteria
Description: partial 16S ribosomal RNA
Rfam family: Bacterial small subunit ribosomal RNA
Source: RNAcentral